CGAUGGAUAGGGGUUCUGAGAGGAAGGUCCCCCACAUUGGAACUGAGACACGGUCCAAACUCCUACGGGAGGCAGCAGUGAGGAAUAUUGGUCAAUGGGCGAGAGUCUGAACCAGCCAAGUAGCGUGAAGGAUGACUGCCCUAUGGGUUGUAAACUUCUUUUAUAUGGGAAUAAAGUGAGCCACGUGUGGCUUUUUGUAUGUACCAUACGAAUAAGGAUCGGCUAACUCCGUGCCAGCAGCCGCGGUAAUACGGAGGAUCCGAGCGUUAUCCGGAUUUAUUGGGUUUAAAGGGAGCGUAGGCGGACUAUUAAGUCAGCUGUGAAAGUUUGCGGCUCAACCGUAAAAUUGCAGUUGAUACUGGUCGUCUUGAGUGCAGUAGAGGUAGGCGGAAUUCGUGGUGUAGCGGUGAAAUGCUUAGAUAUCACGAAGAACUCCGAUUGCGAAGGCAGCUUACUGGACUGUAACUGACGCUGAUGCUCGAAAGUGUGGGUAUCAAACAGGAUUGGAUACCCUGGUAGUCCACACAGUAAACGAUGAAUACUCGCUGUUUGCGAUAUACAGCAAGCGGCC
RNAcentral lists this ribosomal RNA (571 nucleotides) under uncultured bacterium. RNAcentral describes it as "bacterial SSU rRNA". It matches the Rfam family "Bacterial small subunit ribosomal RNA", at positions 277 to 848 of the family's 1533-position model. The record is from RNAcentral.